This 623-nucleotide ribosomal RNA is filed under the name Rhizobium sp. RNAcentral describes it as "bacterial SSU rRNA". It matches the Rfam family "Bacterial small subunit ribosomal RNA", at positions 104 to 762 of the family's 1533-position model. The record is from RNAcentral. Lineage: Bacteria; Pseudomonadati; Pseudomonadota; Alphaproteobacteria; Hyphomicrobiales; Rhizobiaceae.
GGGUGAGUAACGCGUGGGAAUCUACCUUUUGCUACGGAAUAACGCAGGGAAACUUGUGCUAAUACCGUAUGUGUCCUUCGGGAGAAAGAUUUAUCGGCAAGAGAUGAGCCCGCGUUGGAUUAGCUAGUUGGUGGGGUAAAGGCCUACCAAGGCGACGAUCCAUAGCUGGUCUGAGAGGAUGAUCAGCCACAUUGGGACUGAGACACGGCCCAAACUCCUACGGGAGGCAGCAGUGGGGAAUAUUGGACAAUGGGCGCAAGCCUGAUCCAGCCAUGCCGCGUGAGUGAUGAAGGCCCUAGGGUUGUAAAGCUCUUUCACCGGAGAAGAUAAUGACGGUAUCCGGAGAAGAAGCCCCGGCUAACUUCGUGCCAGCAGCCGCGGUAAUACGAAGGGGGCUAGCGUUGUUCGGAAUUACUGGGCGUAAAGCGCACGUAGGCGGAUCGAUCAGUCAGGGGUGAAAUCCCAGGGCUCAACCCUGGAACUGCCUUUGAUACUGUCGAUCUGGAGUAUGGAAGAGGUGAGUGGAAUUCCGAGUGUAGAGGUGAAAUUCGUAGAUAUUCGGAGGAACACCAGUGGCGAAGGCGGCUCACUGGUCCAUUACUGACGCUGAGGUGCGAAAGCGU